GUUAGGAAUAUUGGACAAUGGGCGCAAGCCUGAUCCAGCCAUGCCGCGUGAACGAUGAAGGCCUUCGGGUUAUAAAGUUCUUUAGCCGAUGAUUAUAAUGACCGUAGUCGGAAAAUAAGCCCCGGCUAACUUCGUGCCAGCAGCCGCGGUAAUACGAAGGGGGCGAGCGUUAUUCGGAAUCACUGGGCGUACAGCGUGCGUAGGCGGUUUUGUAAGUUGGGAGUGAAAGCCUAGGGCUCAACCCUGGAAUUGCUCUCAAAACUACAAGACUUGAAUUCGGGAGAGGAUAGCGGAAUUGUCAGUGUAGCAGUGAAAUGCGUAGAUAUUGACAGGAACACCAGUGGCGUAAGCGGCUAUCUGGACCGACAUUGACGCUGAGGCACGAAAGCGUGGGGAUCAAACAGGAUUAGAAACCCGUGUAGUCC
RNAcentral lists this ribosomal RNA (425 nucleotides) under uncultured bacterium. RNAcentral's name for it is "partial 16S ribosomal RNA". It matches the Rfam family "Bacterial small subunit ribosomal RNA", at positions 354 to 796 of the family's 1533-position model. The record is from RNAcentral.